UAGCCCGCUGUCCAGGGCACCUUUUUUUUUCUCCCUAUAUUUCGGUUGCUCGCGUCUCUUGGUGUGGUUUGCCCACGUCUGCAGCGCCAGACAGCAUUCCUUCUGCGUGGAACAUGCCAACCCUCGUCUGCUUUGACUUUGCAAAACUGCAUGAGACCGCCGGGCGCGGUGGCUCACGCCUGUAAUCCCAGCACUUCAAGAGGCCGAGGCAGACAGAUCACCUGAGAACUCCAGUUUAAUCAUGAAAAAAACAUCUGACAAACCCAAAUGGAGGAACACCCACAAAAUGCCUCGUCACUGCUUUUCAAAAGGGCCAAGGUCAUGAAAACCGAGAAAGAACUGAGAAACCAUCUCACAUCGGAGGAGGCACGAUGGCUAAAUGCACCCCGGUCGCCCUGGACUGGAUCCGGAAAUAGUAAAAGUGCAUUAGUGGAAAACUGGUGAAAUCCACCGAAAGUCUGCAGUUGGUGAUAGUAUUGAAUCAAUGUUAAUCUCAUAGUUUUGACAAAUGCACCACGGUUACGUACGCGAGACGUUAACAUUAGGGGGAACUGCGUGG
Molecule: long non-coding RNA, 559 nt
Filed under: Homo sapiens (human)
Lineage: Eukaryota; Metazoa; Chordata; Mammalia; Primates; Hominidae
Description: HSALNT0300426
Source: RNAcentral